AACGCGAAGAACCUUACCUGGGUUUGACAUGCACAGGACGCCGGCAGAGAUGUCGGUUCCCUUGUGGCCUGUGUGCAGGUGGUGCAUGGCUGUCGUCAGCUCGUGUCGUGAGAUGUUGGGUUAAGUCCCGCAACGAGCGCAACCCUUGUCUCAUGUUGCCAGCACGUAAUGGUGGGGACUCGUGAGAGACUGCCGGGGUCAACUCGGAGGAAGGUGGGGAUGACGUCAAGUCAUCAUGCCCCUUAUGUCCAGGGCUUCACACAUGCUACAAUGGCCGGUACAAAGGGCUGCGAUGCCGCAAGGUUAAGCGAAUCCUUUUAAAGCCGGUCUCAGUUCGGAUCGGGGUCUGCAACUCGACCCCGUGAAGUCGGAGUCGCUAGUAAUCGCAGAUCAGCAACGCUGCGGUGAAUACGUUCCCGGGCCUUGUA
Molecule: ribosomal RNA, 428 nt
Filed under: uncultured Actinomycetes bacterium
Lineage: Bacteria; Bacillati; Actinomycetota; Actinomycetes
Description: bacterial SSU rRNA
Rfam family: Bacterial small subunit ribosomal RNA
Source: RNAcentral